GGUUGUGUAGUGUAGCGGUUAUCACUCCGGAUUCUGAUUUCAUGACAUUCCGGCAACCCCGGUUCGAUUCCGGGCACGACCU
Non-coding RNA from Cercophora newfieldiana, 82 nucleotides. Lineage: Eukaryota; Fungi; Ascomycota; Sordariomycetes; Sordariales; Lasiosphaeriaceae. The record is from the annotation of a GenBank genome assembly.